This 253-nucleotide ribosomal RNA is filed under the name uncultured bacterium. RNAcentral describes it as "partial 16S ribosomal RNA". It matches the Rfam family "Bacterial small subunit ribosomal RNA", at positions 524 to 776 of the family's 1533-position model. The record is from RNAcentral.
UACAGAGGUCCCAAGCGUUGUUCGGAUUCACUGGGCGUAAAGGGUGCGCAGGUGGGUUUGCAAGUUCGAUGUGAAAGCCCCGGGCUUAACCCGGGAAUGGCAUUGGAUACUGCAGAUCUGGAGGAUCGGAGGGGGGACUGGAAUUCUUGGUGUAGCAGUGAAAUGCGUAGAUAUCAAGAGGAACACCAGUGGCGAAGGCGAGUCCCUGGACGAUACCUGACACUGAGGCACGAAAGCUAGGGGAGCAGACAGG